CCUGCAUGUUCUUCCACACCGAGAUAUAAGCGUAUGGGCCUCAUAAUUUUCCGGGGGGCAUUUGGGAAAUUUCCUCCGAAUUUUUGUGAAAUAUAUGGUAAUGUAAUGACCUGAAUUUAACAUAUUUUGUGAUACAUUUGCCCAAAUUUUUUACAUUUCCAUGGUUUUCUAAAUUUUGGGGGGCAGUGCCCCCCCUCUUCUGUUUUUGGGGCCAGUGCUCCCCCUCUAGGUCUGUUGAGUUGUCUUAAAUUUUUGGGACAG
Non-coding RNA from Paramuricea clavata, 261 nucleotides. The record is from the annotation of a GenBank genome assembly. NCBI's taxonomy places the organism in Eukaryota, Metazoa, Cnidaria, Anthozoa, Malacalcyonacea, Plexauridae.